GGGAGCGCGGCAAGCGGAUGGAGCCAGCGAGAAACACAUAGCCAGGGUUCUGUCGCAUGACCCCCGACGGCACCUGCUCCCCAUCAGCAGCAUCAUACUCCGCUGGGAGGAUUCUUAGAGAAGAAAAGUGCUGAUUUAAGAGAAACUGCAUUAUUUGUGAAAUACAAAAUUCAUCUUGUGGGUGUAAGAGAUGCCUUCGUGGACGGAUGAAGCUCCUGGUACUAAGUAGCAGGAGUGCAGUGAAGCUGCUGUGUUCUCCAGCUCGUAGUUAAGGGCCAGUCAGGAUCAGACAUCUUGCCCUGAUGGAAAAGAAGAUGAACAGAUACCUCCUGACCUGGAUAGCAAUUAAUUCUGGGGACCUAGAUCCCCAAGGACUUUAGGAUGAGGCAGCAGUUUGGAUUUAGGAUCAACAUGGUAUUUAAAAUAUAAAAGCAUUGUAGUGUUGGGGAAGCAUCAUUUAAAAGAACUUGUGGGGUCCCUGUCAGGCCCCUCUUGAGACAGGCCAGCCCCACAGAAGAGAAGGCCUAGGGCUGGCUCCCUAGGGUUGUGAGAAACUCCAGAACAGUGUUGACUUCUUUCUUCCCCUAGGGUCACACCAGCAUGUAGCAUGAUGCCUUGCACACAGUAGGUGCUCAGUAAACACUUUUGGACCACUGAAUGCAAUGACCAAUGGAUAAAAACAUUGUUCUUCCCUUGACCAGAUAAGACCCGCUUCCCUGGGCGUCCACAGGCCGCUGGUGAUGCACACUCUUCUCUGUGUGGCCUCUGCCUGCCGGGGGAAGCCUUGUGACCAGUUUCUCCCCGCUGAGUCAAGGGAGAAUGAGGGGGAGCAUGAACAUUUGCUUGUUUCCCUUAUGGCUUCUGAAUCUUUAUUUUAUUUUUUUUAAUGAAAAUGUCUACUUGAAUUUAGGUAAGGAAGACCUUGCUCUUAGUUUUUGAAUUUUGAACUAGAAAAAAAAAAAAGGUCUUUCAAUGAACACUAGCAGAACAGUCUAAGCAAUCAUGAUAAAGACCUAAUUCCUGCCUCUUUCUCCUGCUCUGAUGGAGCUGAUGACAGCACAAAUGGGAGAGGGAGAAUGUAGCAAGGACACUGAAGGACAGAGAGUUGUCCAAGCCACCAGGAAGGUGAAAGUGGGAAUUCAUUUUCUGUGCCAUUGGGUGGUUCCUUAGGAAAAAACGUAGACAAAGAAAAAUAUUGUAUUAUUUGUGGAAAUCAAGUUCGUAUUGCAGGUGUAAGAAAUGUCUUUGUGGGUUGACAGCA
Molecule: long non-coding RNA, 1261 nt
Organism: Homo sapiens (human)
Lineage: Eukaryota; Metazoa; Chordata; Mammalia; Primates; Hominidae
Source: Ensembl